CUGCUGUGCAGUUUGGAUUUGUGUACCAGUCCCAUUGAUCUCAACAGUCAUCUCUCCAGGAACACCCCUGCUUUCCUGAAUAGAUAUAGCUGCACCACUGGUGCGGCGGAUAUAGCUAAUAUUGGAACCAGCUGACCCGAUCACAGCAUCAGCAUAAGACAGUGGGAUUUGCAUAUGAUGUAUCGAGACCUGAGAGGACAUAGGUGGCUGUUGAUUGGAAUAGGGAUGAGCCCCCAUCGGAG
RNAcentral lists this unclassified non-coding RNA (242 nucleotides) under Hevea brasiliensis (rubber tree). The record is from RNAcentral. Lineage: Eukaryota; Viridiplantae; Streptophyta; Magnoliopsida; Malpighiales; Euphorbiaceae.